AGCUAAGUGCCUUGGCUCCUCAGUAAGUAUAAAUGGAAGGGAGGAAAAGUCUCUGAAGCUUCUAGUGUUUAAGUGGGUGCCUAAGUGUCCCUAGCAGCACACAGGAGAGGGGAACUCAAAUGUUUCUAUCUGAGGUGGGAGUCCUUGGCUGGAAUGGCCAUCUGUACAGAAUGGACAUUCACUGACCAUGGUUUGUAAGCUGAGAAGAGGAGUUGG
Molecule: long non-coding RNA, 216 nt
Filed under: Bos taurus (domestic cattle)
Lineage: Eukaryota; Metazoa; Chordata; Mammalia; Artiodactyla; Bovidae
Description: long non-coding RNA NONBTAT018043
Source: RNAcentral